This 871-nucleotide long non-coding RNA is filed under the name Vigna radiata. RNAcentral describes it as "long non-coding RNA (VRAD_LNC002699)". Lineage: Eukaryota; Viridiplantae; Streptophyta; Magnoliopsida; Fabales; Fabaceae. The record is from RNAcentral.
AAAAGUGUAAGAAGAAAUCUAGGUUGCCUCCUAGUAGCGCUUGUUUAACGUCACGAGCCUGACCCAAACCUGGUUGGCACUUGUCAGUAAGUGCACUACCUUCCACCACCCAUCAGUAGGUGUACCUUCCGCAUAUCCUUCAGUGGAUACCUAUAUCUUCUAACAUCCCCCAGUAGAUGCUAUCCCGGUAGCAUUCAUCAGUAAAUACUAAUCUUUCUAAUCUUCAUUGGCAUCCAUCAGUAGAUGCCAUAUCAUCUAACAUCCAUCAGUAGAUGUUGUAGAAGCAUCCAUCAGUAGAUGCUAUCAUCAUUGCCAUCAGAAGCAACGCAUAACCCAAAAAAAAUAAAUAAAAUAAAAUAACAUAAAACCAAAUCAAAUAAAAUAAAAAAAAUCAAAUAAAAGAAAAUAAAAUAAAAAUAAAAUAAAAUAAAAUAAAAUAUAAUAAAAUAAAAUAAAAUAAAAUCAAACGAAAUUGAAGAUAAAAAAAAAUUCAGAAACUGGGUUGCCUCCCAGCAAGCGCUCUUUUAACGUCAUUAGCUUGACCCGGUAAAGCCCAAACACCCAUCAGUAGGUGUUGAAAUUUUAUGUUGGUGUUCCUCCUUCCUUCAUGACACCAACAACAUCUCGAGACUUUUCUUGUCACCAACUCUAAGGAUCCUCCAUCUUCAGAAUUCUGUUUGCUUUGAUAGUCUUGUCAACCCAUGACCUAUUCUUGAAUUUCACUGAUAUGCCAGGUUUGGGUUUGUCACUUUUCACAUCAGGGUGUUGGUGAACCAAUUCUCCUUCCUUAUCUGCCUCCUGAUGAUCUUGUGCUCCUAGUACCAAAAAUUUUAUCCUGCAUACACUAAAGAACACUACACUAGAGCACCGA